Long non-coding RNA from Puma concolor (puma), 572 nucleotides. RefSeq lists it as uncharacterized. The record is from RefSeq and is a predicted model, not a curated record. NCBI's taxonomy places the organism in Eukaryota, Metazoa, Chordata, Mammalia, Carnivora, Felidae.
AGGCUAGUAUUGCUCUUCCACGGAUGCCUCAGAAGGAGGACCUCUGCUCCCUGACUAUCGUUGACCGCAGGCUUCAGCUCUCAGAAGAUUAGUGAAAGAUGAUGGCUGAUCUGGAGCAUCUUCGCUGAGGACAAAACGAGAUAGAUGACGCUUUGGAGACAUCUUUCUGGGGCAACAGAGAACGGAGGUCCCUUUUUGAGAAGACCCGAGACAAUGAUGUGCUUCCACGCCAGAAUGGGAAGAAAUGGUCCAAGAGAGCAAACGUGAAGGGGAGCAGUGGGCUUGACGUCCAUUUUGAUAUCACUGAGGCCCAGGUAGAUCUUUCUGCUUUGAGAUGAACUGCUGUAGUAUAUCCUGCUGCUGGACAGAAGUGAUACAGCUUCCCAGGGAACAGGGAGUACUUACAAGAAGGUGGCAGUUGGGGCGCCUGGGUGGCGCAGUCGGUUAAGCGUCCGACUUCAGCCAGGUCACGAUCUCGCGGUCCGUGAGUUCGAGCCCCGCGUCGGGCUCUGGGCUGAUGGCUCAGAGCCUGGAGCCUGUUUCCGAUUCUGUGUCUCCCUCUCUCUCUGCCC